AAGGCUGAUCUUGUGCAGCGUGUCCUGGUCCAGCUGUCCUACGCCAUUGGAGUGGCCCACCCCUUGUCCAUCUCCAUCUUCCACUAUGGAACCUCCCAGAGGAGCGAGAAGGAGCUGCUGGAGAUCGUGAAGAAGAACUUUGACCUCCGCCCGGGCGUCAUCGUCAGAGAGCUGGACCUGAAGAAGCCCAUCUACCAGCGCACCGCCGCCUAUGGCCACUUUGGCCGCGAGUCCUUCCCCUGGGAAGUUCCCAAAAAGCUUAAAUACUAAAUCUGUAACCCCCCCUCCUUUCCUUGGGCGGUAGGUGUACAUUACAGAGAAACCUACUCAACCCGUCGGAGGGGGAGAUGUACCAAAACCCCUCACUCCUAACCUCACACCCGUUCCCAAAGGUAAUUCCCCUUCAGUGGCGGUCUCCCCAUACAACUCUACCUUCAGUCCCUGUUCUUUGCUGUAUUGUUUUCUUAAUAUCUGUGGAUGGUGGCUGUUUGUUUUUUUUGUUCUGUUUGACUGUGCGCCCUCUUCUCCCCCCAUCUCUCUUGGGCCCUUCCUUCCUUACUUACUUGCUUGAAAGAUCAAGUGACGGCACAAAUGGGGGUCAAAGGUUGCUCUGUGAUGCUAUGCAUUGCUGGCUGAAGCACUAACCCCUCGACUUUGUUUUACCAACUAAGAGAACCAAUGCUUACCAUUUUCCAGGUCCACCACUUUAUGCAUACCAUCGCAAAUGGGAUCAAAACCUCUCGUGAAAUGUCGAAAACCUGUCUUUAGUUGGAUCCAACAAGAAUGUGUUUAAGUUGCAUAGCGCAGGGAUCGGAUCGAGAAAUUUUAAGAGACUUUUUACACACGUACUGUCACCACGGUUCUGUCCCGGUCACCGCAGGCCACGUUGUUUUUAUUUCUGACGUGUUACAGAGAAGUCGGAAGCUGCUACCAACUGUGGUGGUUCUGCGAGGCUGGUGACACAACCGUUCCCCUUCGGUCUCGAUGGUGAUUCCAGAUGAAACCUCCUGGUAGCUGUUAUGUGAUGUUCUACUAGACCAUGGCGGAGGCAAAGCACUCCCUCUCUGCUCGUGGCGACAGCGGGCGUAGCUACAGAGAAGCCCUGCUCCCUCGCCAGCGCAGAAGGGCUGCCUCCGCCUCUUGAAUCG
Long non-coding RNA from Cyprinus carpio (common carp), 1148 nucleotides. RefSeq lists it as uncharacterized. The record is from RefSeq and is a predicted model, not a curated record. The transcript has 3 exons. NCBI's taxonomy places the organism in Eukaryota, Metazoa, Chordata, Actinopteri, Cypriniformes, Cyprinidae.